CCAUGCCUACGGGGCGCAGCAGUAGGGAAUCUUCCACAAUGGGCGAAAGCCUGAUGGAGCAACGCCGCGUGGGUGAAGAAGGUCUUCGGAUCGUAAAACCCUGUUGUUAGAGGAGAAAGUGCGUGAGAGUAACUGUUCACGUUUCGACGGUAUCUAACCAGAAAGCCACGGCUAACUACGUGCCAGCAGCCGCGGUAAUACGUAGGUGGCAAGCGUUAUCCGGAUUUAUUGGGCGUAAAGGGAACGCAGGCGGUCUUUUAAGUCUGAUGUGAAAGCCUUCGGCUUAACCGGCGUAGGGCAUUGGG
This 305-nucleotide ribosomal RNA is filed under the name uncultured bacterium. RNAcentral's name for it is "bacterial SSU rRNA". It matches the Rfam family "Bacterial small subunit ribosomal RNA", at positions 333 to 630 of the family's 1533-position model. The record is from RNAcentral.